This 53-nucleotide non-coding RNA is filed under the name unclassified sequences. Its description in RNAcentral is "Mu-gpT-DE RNA". It matches the Rfam family "Mu-gpT-DE RNA". The record is from Rfam by way of RNAcentral.
CCCUGACAAACACACAACGUGUUUGACACUAGCCACGACAGGAGAAUCAUAUG